RNAcentral lists this ribosomal RNA (520 nucleotides) under uncultured Glomus. RNAcentral describes it as "SSU rRNA". It matches the Rfam family "Eukaryotic small subunit ribosomal RNA", at positions 569 to 1090 of the family's 1831-position model. The record is from RNAcentral. Lineage: Eukaryota; Fungi; Glomeromycota; Glomeromycetes; Glomerales; Glomeraceae.
AGCAGCCGCGGUAAUUCCAGCUCCAAUAGCGUAUAUUAAAGUUGUUGCAGUUAAAAGCUCGUAGUUGAAUUUCGGGAUCAAGGAAUCGGUCAUGCCUCGGUAUGUACUGGUUUUAUUGGUUCUCACCUUCUAAAGAACCAUGAUGUCAUUCAUUUGAUGUUAUGGGGAAUUAGGACUGUUACCUUGAAAAAAUUAGAGUGUUUAAAGCAGGCUUACGCUUGAAUACAUUAGCAUGGAAUAAUGAAAUAGGACAUCAGAUUCUAUUUUGUUGGUUUCUAGGAUCGAUGUAAUGAUUAAUAGGGAUAGUUGGGGGUCAUUAGUAUUCAAUUGUCAGAGGUGAAAUUCUUGGAUUUAUUGAAGACUAACUACUGCGAAAGCAUUUUGCCAAGGAUGUUUUCAUUAAUCAAGAACGAAAGUUAGGGGAUCGAAGACGAUCAGAUACCGUCGUAGUCUUAACCAUAAACUAUGCCGACUAGGGAUCGGAUGAUGUUUAUUUUUUAGUGACUCAUUCGGCACCUUA